This 1380-nucleotide ribosomal RNA is filed under the name Pseudomonas fluorescens. RNAcentral's name for it is "partial 23S ribosomal RNA". It matches the Rfam family "Bacterial large subunit ribosomal RNA", at positions 1583 to 2925 of the family's 2925-position model. The record is from RNAcentral. Lineage: Bacteria; Pseudomonadati; Pseudomonadota; Gammaproteobacteria; Pseudomonadales; Pseudomonadaceae. RNAcentral also lists the same sequence under 1 other name.
UAACGAAGUGGUUGAUGCCAUGCUUCCAAGAAAAGCUUCUAAGCUUCAGGUAACCAGGAACCGUACCCCAAACCGACACAGGUGGUUGGGUAGAGAAUACCAAGGCGCUUGAGAGAACUCGGGUGAAGGAACUAGGCAAAAUGGCACCGUAACUUCGGGAGAAGGUGCGCCGGUGAGGGUGAAGGACUUGCUCCGUAAGCUCAUGCCGGUCGAAGAUACCAGGCCGCUGCGACUGUUUAUUAAAAACACAGCACUCUGCAAACACGAAAGUGGACGUAUAGGGUGUGACGCCUGCCCGGUGCCGGAAGGUUAAUUGAUGGGGUUAGCUAACGCGAAGCUCUUGAUCGAAGCCCCGGUAAACGGCGGCCGUAACUAUAACGGUCCUAAGGUAGCGAAAUUCCUUGUCGGGUAAGUUCCGACCUGCACGAAUGGCGUAACGAUGGCGGCGCUGUCUCCACCCGAGACUCAGUGAAAUUGAAAUCGCUGUGAAGAUGCAGUGUAUCCGCGGCUAGACGGAAAGACCCCGUGAACCUUUACUAUAGCUUUGCACUGGACUUUGAAUUUGCUUGUGUAGGAUAGGUGGGAGGCUUUGAAGCGUGGACGCCAGUCUGCGUGGAGCCAUCCUUGAAAUACCACCCUGGCAACUUUGAGGUUCUAACUCAGGUCCGUUAUCCGGAUCGAGGACAGUGUAUGGUGGGUAGUUUGACUGGGGCGGUCUCCUCCUAAAGAGUAACGGAGGAGUACGAAGGUGCGCUCAGACCGGUCGGAAAUCGGUCGUAGAGUAUAAAGGCAAAAGCGCGCUUGACUGCGAGACAGACACGUCGAGCAGGUACGAAAGUAGGUCUUAGUGAUCCGGUGGUUCUGUAUGGAAGGGCCAUCGCUCAACGGAUAAAAGGUACUCCGGGGAUAACAGGCUGAUACCGCCCAAGAGUUCAUAUCGACGGCGGUGUUUGGCACCUCGAUGUCGGCUCAUCACAUCCUGGGGCUGAAGCCGGUCCCAAGGGUAUGGCUGUUCGCCAUUUAAAGUGGUACGCGAGCUGGGUUUAGAACGUCGUGAGACAGUUCGGUCCCUAUCUGCCGUGGACGUUUGAGAUUUGAGAGGGGCUGCUCCUAGUACGAGAGGACCGGAGUGGACGAACCUCUGGUGUUCCGGUUGUCACGCCAGUGGCAUUGCCGGGUAGCUAUGUUCGGAAUAGAUAACCGCUGAAAGCAUCUAAGCGGGAAACUAGCCUCAAGAUGAGAUCUCACUGGAACCUUGAGUUCCCUGAAGGGCCGUCGAAGACUACGACGUUGAUAGGUUGGGUGUGUAAGCGCUGUGAGGCGUUGAGCUAACCAAUACUAAUUGCCCGUGAGGCUUGACCAUAUAACACCCAAGCAAUU